UCUGUGGAUUUAUAAUUUUUUCGAAAAUUAUAACUGGUAGCGGAACGUUCUGUAAGCCUGUAAAGGGAUACCUGUGAAGGAUCCUGGAGGUAUCAGAAGUGCGAAUGCUGACAUAAGUAACGAUAAAAGAAGUGAAAAACUUCUUCGCCGAAAAUCCAAGGGUUUCUGCGCAAGGUUAAUCCGCGCAGAGUUAGUCGGCACCUAAGGCGAGGGCGAAAGCCGUAGUCGAUGGAAAUAAGGUUAAUAUUCCUUAACCAGAUGGUAGUGACGGAUUUUGUAAGUUGUGAGUUCUAAAUGGAUUGAGCUUGCUGCGAAAAAGUCCCAGGAAAUAGCUCCAUCAUAAGACCGUACCCUAAACCGACACAGGUGGAUUAAUAGAGUAUAUUUAGGCGCUUGAGAGAAUGAUGUUGAAGGAACUCGGCAAAAUGCUUCUGUAACUUCGGAAUAAAGAAGACCUUUUUUAGGGCAACCUAUUAAAGGUGGCACAAGCCAGGGAGAAGCGACUGUUUAUCAAAAACACAGGGCUCUGCUAACACGUAAGUGGAUGUAUAGGGUCUGACGCCUGCCCGGUGCUGGAAGGUUAAUGCGAUGGGUGCAAGCUCAUUUCUGAAGCCCCAGUAAACGGCGGCCGUAACUAUAACGGUCCUAAGGUAGCGAAAUUCCUUGUCGGGUAAGUUCCGACCUGCAUGAAUGGCGUAACGAUUUCUCCGCUGUCUCCAACAUCAACUCAGUGAAAUUGAAUUCUCCGUGAAGAUGCGGAGUUCGCGUAGUUAGACGGAAAGACCCCGUGCACCUUUACUGCAACUUUACAUUGGUGUUAGGAAAAACAUAUUUAGCAUAGGAGGGAGACAUUGAAGCGAAAGCGUCAGCUUUUGUGGAGUCACCAGUGAAAUACCUCUUUUGUUUUUCUUGAUAUCUAACUGAUAGCCGUUAUCCGGCACCAAGACAUUGUAUGGUGGGUAGUUUGACUGGGGCGGUCGCCUCCCAAAUAGUAACGGAGGCGUGCGAAGGUAAGCUCAGAACGGUCAGAAAUCGUUCGUAGAGUGC
RNAcentral lists this ribosomal RNA (1047 nucleotides) under marine sediment metagenome. Its description in RNAcentral is "bacterial LSU rRNA". It matches the Rfam family "Bacterial large subunit ribosomal RNA", at positions 1199 to 2352 of the family's 2925-position model. The record is from RNAcentral.